Schistosoma curassoni is the source of this 45-nucleotide non-coding RNA. NCBI's taxonomy places the organism in Eukaryota, Metazoa, Platyhelminthes, Trematoda, Strigeidida, Schistosomatidae. The record is from Rfam.
AUCCAGCUGUCAAGUCCAAAAUAGGGCGAAACGCGCGUUCUAUAU